GGAUGUGAGGGCAGUCUGGCUGUGGUAUUUGUCUCCUCAUUGAUCUCCAAGGUUGAUUCAGCUGAUAUGGCUGGCUAGGCUGUUGUCCCCUUGCUCACUGCUCCUUGUGAGGUCCCCCAGAGCUGUGAAGCUGCACACUAGCUGGAAGAGGAUCAUCCUCUCUAAUAGAGGAAGACCAUUCAAGGUUCUCCCCUGCUAGAACUUCCAAAUAAGCUCUCAAAAAAAAAAAAAAAAAAAAAAAGAAUGGGGCAGUCCUAGUGUGU
Fukomys damarensis (Damara mole-rat) is the source of this 263-nucleotide non-coding RNA. The record is from Rfam. NCBI's taxonomy places the organism in Eukaryota, Metazoa, Chordata, Mammalia, Rodentia, Bathyergidae.